RNAcentral lists this long non-coding RNA (273 nucleotides) under Mytilus galloprovincialis (Mediterranean mussel). The record is from RNAcentral. Lineage: Eukaryota; Metazoa; Mollusca; Bivalvia; Mytilida; Mytilidae.
GGCCAGAAAUACGAUAUUGAAGUAUCAGUUUAAUGAAUACAAUUCAUCAUUUGAUAUUGGGAGAAUGAUGAAUAGACAAAUACCGAGCUACCAAUAAGGUUUUGUGAUAUUAUCAAAUACGAAUCAUGUUUUGUGACGGACAUACAUGAAUUAGGGGAGAACCUUUAAGAACCAAAAUAGGGGGAACAUUUUAGAAUCUUAAAGUGAGGUUAUUUUGGAAGUUUUUGAUAAUUUUGUAAUAAUCUGAAGAAACUAUAAAGACAUAAUUCAAAU